AAGAAAAUUCAGCACUAAGCCACUGACAAUUUUAAAGAUCGAGGGCUAGAAAGAGAGCAGCAGAGCCGAAUGAAGGGAAAAAAAAGUAUGAACAAGGCUGGAGAGAGACAAGGCAUGAAGGAAGAGAAAAGAAAAACAAGCAAGAACAAGGUUGAAAAGAUGAGGCAUGACGGAACGGAAGAGGGGAAAAAAAGAGCUUGAACAAGGCUGUAGAGAGAUGAGGUGAGAAGGAAGAGGAGGUAA
Molecule: unclassified non-coding RNA, 243 nt
Filed under: Hevea brasiliensis (rubber tree)
Lineage: Eukaryota; Viridiplantae; Streptophyta; Magnoliopsida; Malpighiales; Euphorbiaceae
Source: RNAcentral